AUGCAUAAGCUCGUAAACAUUCAUUAUUUGGACAAGUCGACAUUUAUGCUUGGAAAUGACGAUGAAGGGGAAGAGGCUAUGGUUUUUGACACAAGUCCAAGCUUUGAUGAUCUUGUAGUUCAACUGAGAAGCGUCUUACAUUGGAAUGACCCAAAUGCCGAGGUUAAGCUUAUUGGGAGGUAUGAUGUUGGAUUGGGAGUAAAGUCCCGAUUAAAGAGUAUGCCCAUCACCUCCCAAUUGCAUUGGAAUGUGUACAAGGAAAAAGUAGACGCAUCACAAGACAAGUCUCUUGAGAUCUUUGCCACAAAGGUUGAUCCUCCUCCUCCUUUGCAAAUUGAUCUCAAUCGCAAUGCAUCCUCCCCCAUGCAUGAUGAUAGUGCCGAGGUGUAUGUCCCCAAUUGUUCUAGCCAACCACCAAGUAGCCAACCC
RNAcentral lists this ribosomal RNA (429 nucleotides) under Triticum aestivum (bread wheat). RNAcentral describes it as "partial small subunit ribosomal RNA". The record is from RNAcentral. Lineage: Eukaryota; Viridiplantae; Streptophyta; Magnoliopsida; Poales; Poaceae.